This 440-nucleotide ribosomal RNA is filed under the name uncultured bacterium. RNAcentral describes it as "partial 16S ribosomal RNA". It matches the Rfam family "Bacterial small subunit ribosomal RNA", at positions 338 to 795 of the family's 1533-position model. The record is from RNAcentral.
CCUACGGGGGGCAGCAGUGGGGAAUAUUGCUCAAUGGGGGAAACCCUGAUGCAGCGACGCCGCGUGAGUGAAGAAGUAAUUCGUUAUGUCAAGCUCUAUCAGCCGGGAAGAAAAUGACGGUACCUGAGUAAGAAGCACCGGCUAACUACGUGACAGCAGCCGCGGUAAUGCGUAGGGGGCAAGCGUUAUCCGGAUUUACUGGGUGUAAAGGGAGCGUAGACGGCAGUGCAAGUCUGGAGUGAAAGGCGGGGGCUCAACCCCCGGACUGCUCUGGAAACUGUACGGCUGGAGUGCAGGAGAGGUAAGUGGAAUGCCUAGUGUAGCGGUGAAAUGCGUAGAUAUUAGGAGGAACACCAGUUGCGAAGGCGGCGUACUGGACUGUAACUGACGUUGAGGCACGAAAGCGUGGGGAUCAAACAGGAUUAGAUACCCCUGUAGUC